AGGGUUCAUAAGUCAAUAUAUUUUGAGCUGUACAAUAGAGCAGUGUGUGAAGCCCGGUAUCAAAGUAGGAUCAUACAUCGGUACACAACCUGAAGUUAACAAAGACAAUUCAUUUUGUAUAUAAAUUAUGGUAAAGAGCUUCAUCCGUCCACGCGAGCGGACCGUCUUUUUUCGCAACCCGCGAGAUGAGAGCGAACAGCGCGGCUAGCGGAACGGCGGCGUAGGGAAUAAACCGGUGGUAAAAAUUGAGCGAUCCUAGGAAGCGCUGGAGCUCCUUUUUGGUCUCAGGACGCGGACAACGACGGACGUCGGCGACGGAUUGCGGAUUCGGACGUGAACCGCGUGAGUCGAUGUUAUGACCCAAAAACAUUAACUCGCGAGCGGCAAAAACACAUUUCGCGGGAUAAACGGCGAUCCCGAACUUUCGAAACGCGCGGACGUGAGCACGGUGCUCCUCUUCGGAGCUGACGCGAUGAGGACGUCGUCGACGUAGGCGAAAACGAAACUGAGGUCGCCCAAAAU
Cinara cedri is the source of this 522-nucleotide non-coding RNA. Lineage: Eukaryota; Metazoa; Arthropoda; Insecta; Hemiptera; Aphididae. The record is from the annotation of a GenBank genome assembly.